ACGAUCUAACUUGAAAAGGACCUGUUCUAUAUGUUGUACAUCCGUUUCCAUUGAUACAAUGGAGACACGCACAACAAUCUGGCAGAUGACACAUUGCUACGUGUUCGGAGUGUGAGUACUGGAUGUGGGGCCCACGGGCACCCAUCGUCUAUUGAGGAUCACUCUCAUCAAGCCAACGGCUGAUGGGAUGGCCACGUGGCAGUCUGACAGAUC
RNAcentral lists this small nucleolar RNA (213 nucleotides) under Amborella trichopoda. RNAcentral describes it as "snoRNA Plant_U3". It matches the Rfam family "Plant small nucleolar RNA U3". Rfam says of the family: Small nucleolar RNAs (snoRNAs) are involved in the processing and modification of rRNA in the nucleolus. There are two main classes of snoRNAs: the box C/D class, and the box H/ACA class. Lineage: Eukaryota; Viridiplantae; Streptophyta; Magnoliopsida; Amborellales; Amborellaceae. The record is from Rfam by way of RNAcentral.